GUGCUUGCUUUGGCAGCACCUAUACUAAAAUUAGAACGAUACAGAGAAGAUUAGUGUGGCCCCUGCGCAUGAGGAUGAUUUGCACGUUCAUGAAGCAUUCCAUAUUUUU
Molecule: small nuclear RNA, 109 nt
Organism: Vulpes vulpes (red fox)
Lineage: Eukaryota; Metazoa; Chordata; Mammalia; Carnivora; Canidae
Source: Ensembl